AACGCACCUUGCACCCUUUGGCAUUCCGAAGGGUAUGCUCGUUUGAGUGUCAUUGUACUCUCACACUUCCAAUUCUUUGGAUUGGGAGCGGUGGACUUGGGCGCUGCUGCUUUACUGUGGCUCACCUCAAAUGCAUUAGUGCAACCCUUGGUUAGACAUAGUACGGCGUGAUAAGUGUCUUCGCUGGCGCCUCACUUAGAGGGUGGCUGAUCAGGGGCUCUGUGCUUCAAACCGUCUUUGGACAAUGGCUGACAACUUGACCUCAAAUCGAGUAGGACUACCCGCUGAACUUAA
RNAcentral lists this unclassified non-coding RNA (294 nucleotides) under uncultured Sebacinaceae. RNAcentral describes it as "sequence contains ITS2". The record is from RNAcentral. Lineage: Eukaryota; Fungi; Basidiomycota; Agaricomycetes; Sebacinales; Sebacinaceae.